GAUGAAGAACGUAGCGAAAUGCGAUAAGUAAUGUGAAUUGCAGAAUUCAGUGAAUCAUCGAAUCUUUGAACGCACAUUGCGCCCCCUGGUAUUCCGGGGGGCAUGCCUGUCCGAGCGUCAUUACAACCCUCAAGCUCAGCUUGGUAUUGGGCCCCGCCGCUCCGGCGGGCCCUAGAGUCAGUGGCGGUGCCGUCCGGCUCCGAGCGUAGUAAUUCUUCUCGCUCUGGAGGUCCGGUCGUGUGCUCGCCAGCAACCCCCAAUUUUUUUCAGGUUGACCUCGGAUCAGGUAGGGAUACCCGCUGAACUUAAGCAUAUCAAUAAGCGGAGGA
RNAcentral lists this unclassified non-coding RNA (329 nucleotides) under soil metagenome. RNAcentral describes it as "partial contains 5.8S ribosomal RNA, internal transcribed spacer 2, and large subunit ribosomal RNA". The stretch from base 1 to 120 matches the Rfam family "5.8S ribosomal RNA", at positions 35 to 154 of the family's 154-position model. The record is from RNAcentral.